GUUUCCGUGGUGUAGUGGUUAUCACGUGUGCCUUACACGCGCAAGGUCCCUGGUUCGAUCCCGGGCGGAAACA
Molecule: transfer RNA, 73 nt
Filed under: Stegodyphus dumicola
Lineage: Eukaryota; Metazoa; Arthropoda; Arachnida; Araneae; Eresidae
Description: tRNA-Val
Source: RNAcentral